UUGUUUGUUUCGGAGAAGCGGCCUGGGCCUCUCGGACGUUCCCGUGUGGCCUUUCGGCACCGGGGACCUUCCGUUGGCCUUUUCGGCGGGCUUUUCCGAUUUGCAUUUGCUUGGGGAAGCGGCCUGGGCCGUGCGGAUUGUCCCGUGUGGUCGUCCGACCUUGAGACUCUUCCGCCGGCCUUUUCGGCGGGCUUCUCCAGCUUUCGUUUACUCGGGGGAGCGACCUGGGCCGUGCGGAUUGUCUCAUGUGGUCGUCCGACCUCAAGACCUCUCCGCCGGCCUUUUCGGCGGGCUACCCCCUUUUCAGUUACAUUUUUAAUGGGUGCACUCCGGGUGCUUUUUAUUGGGCAUCAUGUGCCGUGGUCGGGGAGCGCCCGACGUAAAAUCAGAUACAAUAGGGGAUAAUAUUGUUUCGCGUGCGUCUCACUUCACCGCCUGUACUUUUCUAAAUUGUCGGCAUGCCACGUUCUCUCUAUCUCCUGCCCAUCCUCGUACCCCAGGCGAAAGAUGCCGGGCUGGAUCUCGUCCGUGAUGACGUACGGGCCC
This 546-nucleotide long non-coding RNA is filed under the name Zostera marina. Its description in RNAcentral is "long non-coding RNA (ZMAR_LNC003692)". The record is from RNAcentral. Lineage: Eukaryota; Viridiplantae; Streptophyta; Magnoliopsida; Alismatales; Zosteraceae.